This 354-nucleotide unclassified non-coding RNA is filed under the name soil metagenome. Its description in RNAcentral is "partial contains 5.8S ribosomal RNA, internal transcribed spacer 2, and large subunit ribosomal RNA". The stretch from base 1 to 120 matches the Rfam family "5.8S ribosomal RNA", at positions 35 to 154 of the family's 154-position model. The record is from RNAcentral.
GAUGAAGAACGUAGUGAAAUGCGAUAAGUAGUGUGAAUUGCAGAAUUCAGUGAAUCAUCGAAUCUUUGAACGCACAUUGCGCCUCCUGGUAUUCCGGGAGGCAUGCCUGUUCGAGCGUCAUUAAAAUCACUCAAGCUUAGGUUUACCUAUUGCUUGGUCUUGGAGAUGGAAGCCAAUUUAUUGGAAUCCUCUUCGAAAUUCAAUGGCGAAGACCCUUGCUCUCCCAAGUGUAGUAAUAACUUAUGUCAAUGAAGGAAGCGAGAAAUCUUCUGCCGUAACCCCCAUAUUUUCUAUGAUUGACCUCGGAUCAGGUAGGGAUACCCGCUGAACUUAAGCAUAUCAAUAAGCGGAGGA